Non-coding RNA from Echinostoma caproni, 45 nucleotides. The record is from Rfam. NCBI's taxonomy places the organism in Eukaryota, Metazoa, Platyhelminthes, Trematoda, Plagiorchiida, Echinostomatidae.
GCACUGCUGAUGGGUCCCAAACAGGACGAAACAGCUGUCCAGUGC